Molecule: long non-coding RNA, 1012 nt
Organism: Rattus norvegicus (Norway rat)
Lineage: Eukaryota; Metazoa; Chordata; Mammalia; Rodentia; Muridae
Source: RefSeq, a predicted model, not a curated record
UGAGUGUCCUGGAAGUCAGACUAGAUGACCCACCGGGGACCUUGAUGGCUUCUCUCUCCUGCCCUCCUCCUGUCUGAGCAUGCCUAUUCGGUGCUGCUCUCAACGUAUACAACUUUGUGGCUACAAAGAGAGAAAUGAGGCCCAGCUGAACUAAGAGACAGGCUUCUGGGAAACCUCUCACAUUAUGAGGGAAAUGUAACUAAGAAGUGCAACUCACCAGAAAGUUCUUCCGUACAAAGAGCAAGACCGUAACUGCCCAUUGGAACUGCCGAGCAUCUGGGCUGUAGUAAUGAGUACCUCAGAUUCCCUCAGGCAAAGCAGUCGCCAUGGCAUGUAGGAUCUGGAGCAACACUGGUGUGUGGUCAGAACACAACACCAGAGCAACAGCUACAAGCAUGUGGUAAAGACCUUCUUGAGGACUUGGGACAAUGGCACACAGGACUACUCCACAGUGAGACAGUUGGAGACACUCAAGGUUUCGGAACAAAAGCUGGAAGUCCCUGCAUUUGCACAAAUCUUGGCCUAGUAGAGCAGCCCAAAGCCUCAGGAAAGAAACACAAGGAUGGACCAGUACACCUGUCCCCCUUUCAGACCAGGCUUUGCUGACAGCGGCUGGGAACGGCUGCCAUUUUCUCCAAGCAGAGAUAGUCUUGAGCCUCAACACCAGAAGCUAAAUGGCAGGCUCCUCGGUUGGAUUAUGUCUUUGGUGUCCUCCAAACGCCAUUCAGAAGUUGGGGAUUUGUUGAGAGAAUGAGCCGAUGGUUCACGAGACACGGGUGCUUCCUCAGAGUGCUUCAGCGGCUGGAUUGGACAACUGUGCCGUUCUCUGUCCUGGCCAUACUCUGUCCUGGUACCUGCCAUCUUUCCCACCUAACAUCCAUUCCCCCUUUUUUUUACAUUUCUAUUUUUUUCUGCUCAGUGCUUCUGAUCUGGCUUUGAGGGAUGAUUCUCUCCUGUUGGGUGUAAUCACGGUGGUUCUUUUAAACAAAGCUAAAUUAUGCUAGAAACACAA